Molecule: ribosomal RNA, 747 nt
Filed under: uncultured bacterium
Lineage: Bacteria
Description: bacterial SSU rRNA
Rfam family: Bacterial small subunit ribosomal RNA
Source: RNAcentral
UCGAUUGAGUUUGAUCAUGGCUCAGAACGAACGCUGGCGGCAGGCCUAACACAUGCAAGUCGAACGCCGUAGCAAUACGGAGUGGCAGACGGGUGAGUAACGCGUGGGAACAUACCCCUCGGUUCGGAAUAACUCAGGGAAACUUGAGCUAAUACCGGAUAAGUCCGAGGUUUUAAUCGACCUUGGAGAAAGAUUUAUCGCCGGAGGAUUGGCCCGCGUCUGAUUAGCUUGUUGGUGAGGUAAUGGCUCACCAAGGCGACGAUCAGUAGCUGGUCUGAGAGGAUGAUCAGCCACAUUGGGACUGAGACACGGCCCAAACUCCUACGGGAGGCAGCAGUGGGGAAUAUUGGACAAUGGGCGAAAGCCUGAUCCAGCCAUGCCGCGUGAGUGAUGAAGGCCUUAGGGUUGUAAAGCUCUUUUACCCGGGAAGAUAAUGACGGUACCGGGAGAAUAAGCCCCGGCUAACUUCGUGCCAGCAGCCGCGGUAAUACGAAGGGGGCUAGCGUUGUUCGGAAUUACUGGGCGUAAAGCGCACGUAGGCGGAUCUUUAAGUCAGGGGUGAAAUCCCGAGGCUCAACCUCGGAACUGCCUUUGAUACUGGGGAUAUCGAGUCCGGGAGAGGUGAGUGGAACUGCGAGUGUAGAGGUGAAAUUCGUAGAUAUUCGCAAGAACACCAGUGGCGAAGGCGGCUCACUGGCCCGGUACUGACGCUGAGGUGCGAAAGCGUGGGGAGCAAACAGGAUUAGA